AAACCAGCACCUCAAGUGGUCAGGAGGAUUAUUGGGCCUAAAGCAUCCGUAGCCUGUUCUGUAAGUUUUCGGUUAAAUCCAUUAGCUCAACUAAUGGGCCGCCGAAAAUACUGCAUAACUAGGGAGUGGGAGAGGUAGACGGUACUCGGUAGGAAGGGGUAAAAUCCUUUGAUCUAUUGAUGACCACCUGUGGCGAAGGCGGUCUACCAGAACACGUUCGACGGUGAGGGAUGAAAGCUGGGGGAGCAAACCGGAUUAGAAACCCCAGUAGUCC
RNAcentral lists this ribosomal RNA (274 nucleotides) under uncultured bacterium. Its description in RNAcentral is "partial 16S ribosomal RNA". It matches the Rfam family "Archaeal small subunit ribosomal RNA", at positions 473 to 747 of the family's 1478-position model. The record is from RNAcentral.